UACGGAGGGUGCAAGCGUUAUCCGGAUUCACUGGGCUUAAAGGGUGCGUAGGUGGGUUGGUAAGUCAGUGGUGAAAUCUCCGAGCUUAACUUGGAAACUGCCAUUGAUACUAUCAGUCUUGAAUACCGUGGAGAUGAGCGGAAUAUGUCAUGUAGCGGUGAAAUGCUUAGAUAUGACAUAGAACACCAAUUGCGAAGGCAGCUCGGUACACGAAUAUUGACACUCAGGCACGAAAGCGUGGGGAUCAAACAGG
This 253-nucleotide ribosomal RNA is filed under the name uncultured bacterium. Its description in RNAcentral is "partial 16S ribosomal RNA". It matches the Rfam family "Bacterial small subunit ribosomal RNA", at positions 524 to 776 of the family's 1533-position model. The record is from RNAcentral.